Molecule: ribosomal RNA, 274 nt
Filed under: uncultured bacterium
Lineage: Bacteria
Description: partial 16S ribosomal RNA
Rfam family: Bacterial small subunit ribosomal RNA
Source: RNAcentral
AUACGGAGGGUGCAAGCGUUACUCGGAAUCACUGGGCGUAAAGCGCGCGCAGGCGGCUAUUUAAGUUGGAUGUGAAAGCCUACGGCUCAACCGUAGAACUGCAUCCGAAACUAUUUAGCUAGAGUGUGGGAGAGGAAGAUGGAAUUAGUUGUGUAGGGGUAAAAUCCGUAGAGAUAACUAGGAAUACCAAAAGCGAAGGCAAUCUUCUGGAACACUACUGACGCUGAGGCGCGAAAGCGUGGGGAGCAAACGGGAUUAGAUACCCUAGUAGUCC